AGCUCCAAUAGCGUAUAUUAAAGUUGUUGCGGUUAAAAAGCUCGUAGUUGGAUUUCUGCCGAGGACGACCGGUCCGCCCUCUGGGUGAGUAUCUGGCUCGGCCUGGGCAUCUUCUUGGAGAACGUAGCUGCACUUGACUGUGUGGUGCGGUAUCCAGGACUUUUACUUUGAGGAAAUUAGAGUGUUUACGGCAGGCAAUCGCCUUGAAUACAUUAGCAUGGAAUAAUACUAUAGGACAUUGGUUCUAUUUUGUUGGUUUCUAGAACUAAGGUAAUGAUUAAUAGGGAUAAUUGGGGGCAUUCGUAUUAACACGUCAGAGGUGAAAUUCUUGGAUUGUGUUACGACGAACUACUGCGAAAGCAUUUGCCAAGGAUGUUUUCA
This 381-nucleotide ribosomal RNA is filed under the name uncultured eukaryote. RNAcentral's name for it is "SSU rRNA". It matches the Rfam family "Eukaryotic small subunit ribosomal RNA", at positions 587 to 972 of the family's 1831-position model. The record is from RNAcentral.